UACGUAGGGUGCGAGCGUUGUUCGGAUUCACUGGGCGUAAAGGGUGCGUAGGUGGCCAGGUAAGUUUGGUGUGAAAGCUCGGAGCUUAACUCCGAAAUGUCAUUGAAUACUAUCUGGCUAGAGGGUCGGAGGGGAGACUGGAAUUCUCGGUGUAGCAGUGAAAUGCGUAGAUAUCGAGAGGAACACCAGUGGCGAAGGCGAGUCUCUGGACGACUCCUGACACUGAGGCACGAAAGCCGGGGGAGCAAACAGG
RNAcentral lists this ribosomal RNA (253 nucleotides) under uncultured bacterium. Its description in RNAcentral is "partial 16S ribosomal RNA". It matches the Rfam family "Bacterial small subunit ribosomal RNA", at positions 524 to 776 of the family's 1533-position model. The record is from RNAcentral.